CAAUAGCGUAUAUUAAAGUUGUUGCGGUUAAAAAGCUCGUAGUUGGAUUUCUGGUACAAUGCGCCUGGCCCGCGACCGUUAGGUCUGUGAGUGCCGGUGCGCGUUUGCCAUCCUUCUAGAAAACGUUUCUACCCUUCACUGGGCCGGACUCGCGAUCUAGAUCUUUUACUUUGAAAAAAUUAGAGUGUUUAAAGCAGGCUUUUGCUGUGAAUACAUUAGCAUGGAAUAAUAAUCUAGGACUUCGGUUCUAUUUUGUUGGUUUCUAGUACUGAAGUAAUGAUUGAUAGGGAUAGUUGGGGGUGCUAGUAUUGGCCGGCCAGAGGUGAAAUUCUUGGAUUCGGUCAAGACUAACUUAUGCGAAAGCAUUCACCAAGGAUGUCUUCUUUAA
RNAcentral lists this ribosomal RNA (388 nucleotides) under uncultured eukaryote. RNAcentral's name for it is "partial 18S ribosomal RNA". It matches the Rfam family "Eukaryotic small subunit ribosomal RNA", at positions 592 to 976 of the family's 1831-position model. The record is from RNAcentral.